GAGCAAGGGAAAAAGUGGUAGCAACGUGGAUUGACUAUAGUUGGGUUCGGACUAAGAGGUGAUAUAAAGGCAUACGUCGCAUCCACUUGGUUUAACUUACCUGGAAGAUCGAAGAUCGAACACAACAAGAAAGCUCUCCGAGCCUAAUUGGCUAAAACUUUACAACGCCACGCCACUUCUCCAACAUCAUGUUGGUGAGGUCGGUGUUAGUACUGACAACUGUUGUAUUGGCCAAGGUAAGGAGAGUAUGGUUCUUCGACGUAACAUCAUAAAUUGGCAACAAUCAAUUGCAUUGGUAGCAUUUACAAUCCGAAAAAACAAUGGUGACUACUUGGUCGAUUAUGACGAAAUAUUGGUAAAUACAAAGGAAACAAUUAAGGAAUCUUCAUCACCCACUGUCCUGGUUUAUAUCAAUUGUCUUUCACCGGAUGCGAUAGCAUGGAUCUUCGAUUUACCUUAAAACUAAUACUUGGCAUAGAUCAAGUUGAUGAUUGAAAACCGAUUGUUAGUAUUGGUCCAAAUUGUGAAUGGCAAUAUAAUUUUAUUGUCUAUUAAUGUUUGAGAUCCAGCGGCGAUCUUCAUAGAAUUUGGAAAUAUCACGGAUAAUUUUCCGAAUAUCAACAGAAAGUGAUGAUCGGAUUUUCUUCACGAUCGAGACAUCUUCCAGAGAGGUUCCUCGCUGAGUGCAAUCAACGAAUCAAAUUCAAUUGGUUUUCAAAAUUCCUAAAACAUUUCUUUGAUAACGCAAUUUUAAUACAAAUUUAAUAACAUAGUACUGAUUUGAUUGAUGUUUGAUGAUUUUGAUUUUUCAUGAUGAUUGAUUUCAUUGAAUGUUUCAAAUAUUUAAAAAAAAAAAUGAAAUUGAUUCGUUGACUGGUCACUCGGUUUCAUUAAGAAAUAUAAAAUCGGCAAAUCCUUCUUUCUUGCUUUACUAUCAUUGGUUUGAACGAUGCGAACUGCUCCUAAAAAAUUAUUUCAUCGUUAUCGAGGUUUUAUACUCAUGAGAGUAGCUGAACCUUCUCGACAAACCUAACGUUCUGUGAUAGCCUUUUCUCGCUUGUCUAUCGAUUCUCAGGUACCUCGCAAUCCUUUCGGUUCUUUUUUCCUUUAUCGCAAUCAAAUAUGGAAUCGAUGAAAUUAUUUGACCCUUCAAAAUAAUCAUCGACGAUGAUCUAUGAAUCUUCGUUAAAAAAUCCUUAGCGCUCUUACUAUACCUCGGGUCAAAUUUUGUCAAUUAAAAAAUUUUUUUUUUUCUAAUCUUGCUGCUUUAUCCUUUUUCACGCAAAACUUCAAACUUUCUGUCUUACGUGCAAUCUCUCAACUUUUUUUUCGUUUUCUUUCUUCUAUGUAUAUCUAUUUUACUUCCUAUAAGAGUUUUCACUUUUAUUUCUUUCACUUUAUCUUUCGUUGCCAUCAACAUAUCAGUAUUAUCAAACUCAAGAUUUGUUGCUUGAUCUUGCCAACAUGAAUUUCAUUUCAAUAUACUACUUUCUACUAUUUUCUAUUUACAUUUUCAUUCUUUAAUUUUCUCCUUUCUUUCAGUUUUAUUUUUGUAGAAUUUUCUUUAAAGAUCUCUAAAACGCAUUUCUUCUUUAAAUCUAUAUAUUAAUUCUUUCAUUGUACGAACUUUUAUUUCUUACUACUGUACCUGAACUACCGUUUCAAAGAUACGCUAUUUUUCUAAUUACUUUUUAAUUUUUCUCUUCACUAAUUCUCUCAUCACAUCAUUUCUUAAUCUCGUUUCUUUACUAUCUUACUUACUCUUUACUUUCUACAAAUUAUUUUUUUUCGAAUUAUUUAAUUCUCCUACUACAUAUAUUAUAAAAAAAGCUUUUAUGGAUUAGCUUAUUUCCUCUGUUUCUCUGUUCUGUUUGUAUAUUUCUUCCUCAACUUUUUUAAAAUUUUCUUAAAAUAAUUUCUUUUGUAUAGUUUGUGAAAUAGUAUCUCUAUUUAUAAAUUAUUAAUUUUCUUAUCUUUUCUUUUUCUAUCUCCUUAAUUAAUUAUAAUUUCUAAAUAUCUUUUAAACUAUUCUAUAUUCUUCUUUCAUCUUCAUUUUUUUUUUUUCAUUAUACCCAAAAGUUUGUAAAUAUUUCUAUGACAUCUUUGUGCCUGUCAACUCAUUUUGUACAAAAUUCUCUCUCUUCCUAAAUCUACUUUUAUUUCGUUCUAUAUCUCUUCUUUAAUCCAUUUCUAUCAUAUUACUUGCGUUUUUUCUAUUUCUAUAUUCUAAUCUAUUCUAUUUGUAUAUCUCUAAAUCGACAUUUUCUCAUUUCUUUUUUUUUCUUUCUUUUAUAUUCUAUUUUUUUUCUCUAUUUUUCUUUUCAUUAAUUCUUUUCUUAUUUUUUUCACACAUUCUGUACUUUUCUUUUAUGUUUCUGUCUUUUCAUCUUUUCUUUUUAUGUUUCUGUCUUUUCAUCUUCUCUUUUAUGUUUCUGUCUUUCCAUCUUCUUUUUUAUGUUUCUGUCUUUCCAUCUUCUUUUUUAUGUUUCUGUCUUUCCAUUUUCUCUUUUAUGUUUCUGCCUUUUCAUCUCUUUUUUUCUUGUUAAUCUUUUCUAAUCUAUCUACAAGAGUGCAACAUCAUUUCUAGUCUAUUGCUAUAUCUAUAUUUCAAUACUUUGUUUCUUUCUAUUAAGCAAUAUAAAACUGAACACUGUGAUCAUUACUUCUUUUUCUUUAACGCUCAAUUUCUUUUCCUUUCGUACAACAAUUUUUACUUGUCUCUAUUUUCAUUUUUCUUUUCCUCUCUCUUUCUCUCUCAUUUUACCUAUCUUUCUUUUAUAUCUUUCUACUCUACUGAAAUUUAACGAUUGAUAAUUGUAUGAAACUUAACUGUGUGUUUUAUCACGCACAUUUGUAUAUUCUAUAUUCUAAUACUUCUUUAAAAAUAAACCAAAAAAAAAGUAAAAAUAAAAAGAAAAAAAUGUAAAAAUGAACAUAGAAGAAAGUCGAUCAUCUUCGUCUUUUAAUUGAUAAAUCAUUUACUAUUACUGUAUCCUUUCUCUUUCUAGUCUACUUUUCCCACCUAUUAAUACUCACUCUGUACAAAAUCUAGAGAAAACAUGGGUUUCCUAUGCACUGUGAUUAUGAUAUAUGUUCUAUCAUUUAUGCCACUUCGUUCUUUGUAUCAUCUUCCGUCAUAGCUUACCUAUUGUACUAUAGCAUAUCAUUGUCAUUAUAUAUGUAUCUGUCAUCUCUCUUUGAUUUUACGACAGCGAAUCUGUAUACAAAGAUUAUGCAUAACUUAUUCAAUAUCUGCGAAACAAAUUUAUUAUAAAUAUUUUUUUUCUUUUCUUAAAUAAAAUGUUCGGUCUUUUUCAAUAUUUCUUCACUUUUUCACUAUCUAUUACUUUCCUGUAUUCACUUUCUACUGCGUCUCAUUUUUUCGAAAAAACAUCGCUUUUCUGUCUUUUUACUUCUUUUAAAACUUGUAAAUAUUCAAUUUAUAAACUCUGUAAAAGUUUUCGUCUUUCCCUUUCUCUUCGUCGCUUUAUUUGUCUUUGCUAUCACGACUGUUAAGUUGACGAGAAGAUUGUCAAGUAAAAAAAAAAAAAAAAACAAAUAAUUAACAUAAACAAAUCUGAAUUUGUAAGUGUAAAGUUAAAAAGUGAUUUUUUCGAAUUUAAAUUUUAAUGCCUAUGCCUGGCUGUGAAUCAUACGCCCUUUCCUUUCUUUCCUAACAUGUUUUAUAAAUUUUAAAUCUCGAUGAAUACGAACAAAAAUCUUAUCAAAUAUUAUUUCUUCUUGUAUAAACUAUAUUUUAUUCUUUCUGCAGAAAACAAUAGAAACAUGAAAAAACAAA
This is a long non-coding RNA of Vespula vulgaris, 3799 nucleotides long. RefSeq lists it as uncharacterized. Lineage: Eukaryota; Metazoa; Arthropoda; Insecta; Hymenoptera; Vespidae. The record is from RefSeq and is a predicted model, not a curated record. The transcript is spliced from 3 exons.